UACGUAGGGGGCUAGCGUUGUCCGGAAUCAUUGGGCGUAAAGAGCGCGUAGGCGGCCAGAUAAGUCCGGUGUGAAAGUCACAGGCUCAACCUGUGAAUGCCGCUGGAAACUGUCUGGCUAGAGUCCGGGAGGGGCGAGUGGAAUUCCUGGUGUAGCGGUGAAAUGCGCAGAUAUCAGGAGGAACACCAAUGGCGAAGGCAGCUCGCUGGAACGGUACUGACGCUGAGGAGCGAAAGUGUGGGGAGCGAACAGG
Molecule: ribosomal RNA, 253 nt
Filed under: uncultured bacterium
Lineage: Bacteria
Description: partial 16S ribosomal RNA
Rfam family: Bacterial small subunit ribosomal RNA
Source: RNAcentral